CCCGUCCUACGGGAGGCAGCAGUGAGGAAUAUUGGUCAAUGGGCGGAAGCCUGAACCAGCCACGUCGCGUGAGGGAAUAAGGCCCUACGGAUUGUAAACCUCUUUUGUCGGGGAGCAAAAGACGCCACGCGUGGCGUUCCGAGAGUACCCGAAGAAAAAGCAUCGGCUAACUCCGUGCCAGCAGCCGCGGUAAUACGGAGGAUGCGAGCGUUAUCCGGAUUUAUUGGGUUUAAAGGGUGCGCAGGCGGAAGAUCAAGUCAGCGGUAAAAUUGAGAGGCUCAACCUCUUCGAGCCGUUGAAACUGG
Molecule: ribosomal RNA, 305 nt
Filed under: uncultured bacterium
Lineage: Bacteria
Description: bacterial SSU rRNA
Rfam family: Bacterial small subunit ribosomal RNA
Source: RNAcentral